Molecule: ribosomal RNA, 253 nt
Filed under: uncultured bacterium
Lineage: Bacteria
Description: partial 16S ribosomal RNA
Rfam family: Bacterial small subunit ribosomal RNA
Source: RNAcentral
UACGGAGGGUGCAAGCGUUAAUCGGAAUUACUGGGCGUAAAGCGUGCGCAGGCGGUUUGUUAAGUCUGCUGUGAAAUCCCCGAGCUCAACUUGGGAAUUGCAGUGGAUACUGGCAAGCUGGAGUACGGUAGAGGAAGGUGGAAUUCCCGGUGUAGCAGUGAAAUGCGUAGAGAUCGGGAGGAACACCAGUGGCGAAGGCGAGUCUCUGGACAUUUCCUGACGCUGAGGCACGAAAGCCAGGGGAGCAAACGGG